AUGGUGAGGGCGGCCUUGUCGUUGAAGAGUUGCCUUGAAGGAUUCAGGUCCCUCUCAAUCCGCUUUGUCUCCAGCUCCUCAUUGAAGAGACCUGAGAGCAAAGGAAUUUCAAUCAGGCCAAAGACUUACCAGCAAGCUUCUCAUUCAUCUCUAAGUAUAAGAAGUCGAUGUACUGCUCGAGUGCAUUCUUCUUCUCAAGAAGCUGAGAAACCUUUCCCCCAAGGUUUUCUUCUCCUGCUCGAAGGCUCUUGCCUGGUCCUUGCAAUCUUUCUCCCACUCAGAAGCUCCACCUUUAGCUGCUCCAAUAGCGGCCUUGAGGGUCUUGAUCUCCUCCUCCAGCUUGCCGACUGGUGCCAGCUUCUCCUCGGUGGUCUUGGUUUUAGUCCUAGCCUACUUAUGUGCAAAUGCUAG
Molecule: ribosomal RNA, 411 nt
Filed under: Triticum aestivum (bread wheat)
Lineage: Eukaryota; Viridiplantae; Streptophyta; Magnoliopsida; Poales; Poaceae
Description: partial small subunit ribosomal RNA
Source: RNAcentral